RNAcentral lists this ribosomal RNA (253 nucleotides) under uncultured bacterium. Its description in RNAcentral is "partial 16S ribosomal RNA". It matches the Rfam family "Bacterial small subunit ribosomal RNA", at positions 524 to 776 of the family's 1533-position model. The record is from RNAcentral.
UACAGAGGGUGCGAGCGUUAAUCGGAAUUACUGGGCGUAAAGCGCACGUAGUCGGCUUUGCAAGUCGGGUGUGAAAUCCCCGGGCUCAACCUGGGGACUGCAUCCGAGACUGCAUUGCUAGAGUAUGGGAGAGGGAAGCGGAAUUUCUGGUGUAGCAGUGAAAUGCGUAGAUAUCAGAAGGAACAUCAGUGGCGAAGGCGGCUUCCUGGACCAAUACUGACGAUCAGGUGCGAAAGCGUGGGGAGCAAACAGG